CCCAACUAUCCCUAUUAAUCAUUACGGUGGUCCUAGAAACCAACAAAAUAGAACCCUUAGCCGUCCUAUUUUAUUAUUCCAUGCUAAUGUAUUCAGACGAUAAAGCCUGCUUUAAACACUCUAAUUUUUUCAAGGUAAUGGUCCUGGUUCCGCCAGACACCAAAUAAAUGACAUCUGACCUCGCCAGAAGGUAAGAGACCCGCGGAGCCAGUGAUGGACAGUUAAGCCCAACCGACCCGCGGCUCCCGAAAUUCAACUACGAGCUUUUUAACUGCAACAACUUUAAUAUACGCUAUUGGAGCUGGAAUUACCGCGGCUGCUGGCACCAGACUUGCCCUCCAA
RNAcentral lists this unclassified non-coding RNA (342 nucleotides) under uncultured Paraglomeraceae. RNAcentral describes it as "sequence contains 18S rRNA gene". RNAcentral also lists the same sequence under 1 other name. The record is from RNAcentral. Lineage: Eukaryota; Fungi; Glomeromycota; Glomeromycetes; Paraglomerales.